CUAAUUUGAGCAAGAAAAUGAAGGCUACCGGGAGUGGCCAAGGCCAAGGAUAAUUAAAAGAAUUUUCUCCAGGCUGUGGAACUUCUUUGUUCCAAUUUUAGAACUUUUCAAUGCGGAGAACAAACUAAACAGAGGUAGGAAUGCACUCAAAAAUUGCCUCCAUUGUCCUCACAGCCCUAGUCCAAUCUGGACAGUCAAGCUGGAACUGCUCUGAGAGGUCACAGAAGGGCAAAGGGAAGCAAGUCUGUACCAUUUCCUAUCAGGGGGUCUCAGGGUCCUAGCACCUUCAGGAUCUUAAGGACCAGGACCAGGACCAGCUAAGCAGUAGAGAAAGUGAAAUUUGGAAAUUCUUCCGGGUAACCCAAAAAGCAACAAUUGAAAGUUUCUUUCCAAUGUACUUCUUAUACCUAACUUCCUGGACCAUCUACCUGAGGCUUAUCUGGGUAUUUAAAGACCCAGGUUUAGGGGCCCUACUGAUUCAAAAUAGAACAUCUAAUGAGAAGAACCUGGGAUUGAGGAAUUUUGAAGAAACCCAAAAGAUACCCAGAAACGCUGUGUUAGAGAACCAUCUUGCCUCAUACAACUUUCAGCUGCAGCUGUUGACAUUUGAGACUGGAUAAUCCUCUGUUACUGGGGCUUCUUUGCAAAGGGCAUGAUGUUCAGCAGCAGCAUGGGCCACUACCCACUAGAUACCAAUAGCAGCACCAACGCUCCAGCUGUAACAGCCAAAAAUGCCUCCAGCCAUUUUCCCAUGUCCCUUGGAACACAGCUGCCCCUAAGAUUGGGACUAUGGUGAUGCUUCAGCCAAGUGUGAGUGUCUAGUGCUUCCCCAUGGGGUGCCUUGUCCAAAUGGCUUCCAUUAGCAUCCAUACACCGAGUCUCGUUCUCAUUAUUGUCUUCUAACCCUUUGCAUGAGGAUGAGUUCAAUGUGUUAAAUGAAGAAUUCUAACUUGAGAAUUUAUGAGAAAUGUGUUUAAAUCUACUUAUAUCUAGAUGCUCUAACAUUAAAGCAGUACAGAUGCAUUUUAAAUCAUGGAUAUUCUCAAAGACCUGACUCUAAUGCUUGGUGAUUAGAACUGUGCUCUGGGAGAACUUGUAGUAAGUGUUUUCAAAAAUGAA
Molecule: long non-coding RNA, 1119 nt
Filed under: Chinchilla lanigera (long-tailed chinchilla)
Lineage: Eukaryota; Metazoa; Chordata; Mammalia; Rodentia; Chinchillidae
Description: lncRNA (ENSCLAG00000025776.1)
Source: RNAcentral